UUCCUUUGAUUGAAUCAAUUGAUGAAGAUUAUACGGCGCGUUGCGAACAUCAGAAUGAUCAGGUAUAUUCCGAAAAAUUACCGGAUAUGAAUCUACUUAGUAAUCAUAGGAAUAAUGAUAUUCUUGUG
This 128-nucleotide non-coding RNA is filed under the name Fragilariopsis kerguelensis. The record is from RNAcentral. Lineage: Eukaryota; Bacillariophyta; Bacillariophyceae; Bacillariales; Bacillariaceae.